This 464-nucleotide ribosomal RNA is filed under the name uncultured bacterium. RNAcentral's name for it is "partial 16S ribosomal RNA". It matches the Rfam family "Bacterial small subunit ribosomal RNA", at positions 28 to 506 of the family's 1533-position model. The record is from RNAcentral.
GACGAACGCUGGCGGCGUGCUUAACACAUGCAAGUCGAACGGAAAGGCCCUGCUUGCAGGGUACUCGAGUGGCGAACGGGUGAGUAACACGUGGGUGAUCUGCCCUGCACUUCGGGAUAAGCCUGGGAAACUGGGUCUAAUACCGGAUAGGAGCCAUUUUUAGUGUGAUGGUUGGAAAGUUUUUUCGGUGUAGGAUGAGCUCGCGGCCUAUCAGCUUGUUGGUGGGGUAAUGGCCUACCAAGGCGGCGACGGGUAGCCGGCCUGAGAGGGUGGACGGCCAAAUUGGGACUGGGUAAGGGCCCAAACCCCUAGGGGGGGGAGCAGUGGGGAAUAUUGCAAAAUGGGCGCAAGCCUGAUGCAGCGACGCCGGGGGGGGGAUGACGGCCUUCGGGUUGUAAACUCCUUUCGCUAGGGACGAAGCUUUUUGUGACGGUACCUAGAUAAGAAGCACCGGCUAACUACGU